This 253-nucleotide ribosomal RNA is filed under the name uncultured bacterium. RNAcentral describes it as "partial 16S ribosomal RNA". It matches the Rfam family "Bacterial small subunit ribosomal RNA", at positions 524 to 776 of the family's 1533-position model. The record is from RNAcentral.
UACAGAGGGUGCAAGCGUUAAUCGGAGUUACUGGGCGUAAAGGGCGCGUAGGCUGAUAUUUUAGUCGAUUGUGAAAUCCCUGGGCUUAACCUAGGAAUUGCAGUCGAUACUGAGUAUCUUGAGUAUGGUAGAGGAAAGUGGAAUUCUCGGUGUAGUGGUUAAAUACGUAGAUAUCGAGAAGAACACCAGUGGCGAAGGCGACUUUCUGGACCAAUACUGACGCUGAGGCGCGAAAGCGUGGGGAGCAAACAGG